RNAcentral lists this ribosomal RNA (284 nucleotides) under uncultured Bacteroidota bacterium. RNAcentral's name for it is "uncultured Bacteroidetes bacterium partial 16S ribosomal RNA". It matches the Rfam family "Bacterial small subunit ribosomal RNA", at positions 62 to 339 of the family's 1533-position model. Lineage: Bacteria; Pseudomonadati; Bacteroidota. The record is from RNAcentral.
UCGAGGGGCAGCAUGGUCUUAGCUUGCUAAGGCCGAUGGCGACCGGCGCACGGGUGAGUAACGCGUAUGCAACCUGCCCUUCACAGGGGGAUAACCGGGAGAAAUUCCGACUAAUACCGCAUACGUCCUCCGGGGGCAUCCUUGGGGGAUGAAAGAAUUAUCGGUGAAGGAUGGGCAUGCGUGAUAUUAGGUAGUUGGCGGGGCAACGGCCCACCAAGCCCACGAUAUCUAGGGGUUCUGAGAGGAAGGUCCCCACAUUGGUACUGAGACACGGACCAAACUCC